AACUUAAGCAUAUCAAUAAGCGGAGGAAAAGAAAAUAACAAUGAUUUCCCUAGUAACGGCGAGUGAAGAGGAAAGAGCUCAAAGUUGGAACCUGUUUGGCUUAGCUAAACCGGAUUGUAAACUGUAGAAGUGUUUUCCAGACACGCCUGGUAAAAAAGUCCUUUGGAACAGGGCAUCAUAGAGGGUGAGAAUCCCGUCUUUGGCCAGAGCUGUUGUCUUUUGUGAUACAUUUUCAAAGAGUCAGGUUGUUUGGGAAUGCAGCCUAAAUUGGGUGGUAAAUCUCACCUAAAGCUAAAUAUUUGCGAGAGACCGAUAGCGAACAAGUACCGUGAGGGAAAGAUGAAAAGAACUUUGAAAAGAGAGUUAAACAGUAUGUGAAAUUGUUAAAAGGGAACCGUUUGGAGCCAGACUGGCUUGACUGUAAUCAAUCUAGGCUUCGGCCUGGAUGCACUUGCGGUUUAUGCCUGCCAACGACAAUUUUUUUUGAGGGAAAAAACUAUUUGGAAUGUGGCCCCCCUCGGGGGGUGUUAUAGCCUUUUAGAAAAUACCUUGAAUUGGAUUGAGGAACGCAGUGAAUGCCUUUAGGCAAGAUUGCUGGGCGCUUUCGCUAAUAAAUGCUAGAAUUUCUGCUUCGGGUGGUGCUAGUGUUUAAAGGAGAAACUCGCUUGGUAUAUUUUUUAUUCGCUUAGGUUGUUGGCUUAAUGACUCUAAAUGACCCGUCUUGAAACACGGG
Molecule: ribosomal RNA, 733 nt
Filed under: fungal sp. APA-2013
Lineage: Eukaryota; Fungi
Description: eukaryotic LSU rRNA
Rfam family: Eukaryotic large subunit ribosomal RNA
Source: RNAcentral